UGGGGAAUAUUGGACAAUGGGGGCAACCCUGAUCCAGCAAUUCCGCGUGUGUGAAGAAGGCCUUCGGGUUGUAAAGCACUUUGGACGGGGAAGAAGGUAAUCUGUUUAAGAGAUGGGUUAUUUGACGGUACCCGUAGAACAAGCACCGGCUAACUCUGUGCCAGCAGCCGCGGUAAUACAGAGGGUGCAAGCGUUAAUCGGAGUUACUGGGCGUAAAGGGCGCGUAGGCGGUCCUGCAAGUGAGAUGUGAAAUCCCCGGGCUUAACCUGGGAACUGCAUCUUAAACUGCGGGGCUGGAGUACUGUAGAGGAUAGUGGAAUUUCCGGUGUAGCGGUGAAAUGCGUAGAGAUCGGAAGGAACACCAGUGGCGAAGGCGACUGUCUGGACAGAUACUGACGCUGAGGCGCGAAAGCGUGGGGAGCAAACAG
RNAcentral lists this ribosomal RNA (428 nucleotides) under uncultured bacterium. RNAcentral describes it as "bacterial SSU rRNA". It matches the Rfam family "Bacterial small subunit ribosomal RNA", at positions 355 to 775 of the family's 1533-position model. The record is from RNAcentral.